This 400-nucleotide ribosomal RNA is filed under the name uncultured Glomeromycotina. RNAcentral's name for it is "eukaryotic LSU rRNA". The record is from RNAcentral. Lineage: Eukaryota; Fungi; Glomeromycota.
GAAAAGAACUUUGAAAAGAGAGUUAAACAGUACGUGAAAUUGUUGAAAGGGAAACGAUUGAAGCCAGUCGUACCAACGGAAAAUCAACUUCUCGGGUGCUUAUCAUGGGUGACGUUGAGCCUCACGGUCUUCGUCAUUUGUGUUUAUUGGUGCCUUUGUGGUGUACUUUUUCGUAUGGUUAGGUUAACAUCGAUUUUGAUCGUCAUAAAAUGAUCGGAGGAAUGUAGCUUCGAUUUAGAUCGAAGUGUUAUAGCCUUUGGUAGAUGUGACGAUUGUGAUCGAGGAUUGCAACGAAUACCCUUUGGACCAUUUGGGUUAUCCGUCUAGCCUUUGAAAGUCGCUUGGGUGUCGAAAGCGUGCUUAUGGCUAUCCAAGUUGGCGGUCAACAGGUUAGAACGUG